This 471-nucleotide ribosomal RNA is filed under the name uncultured soil bacterium. Its description in RNAcentral is "bacterial SSU rRNA". It matches the Rfam family "Bacterial small subunit ribosomal RNA", at positions 26 to 518 of the family's 1533-position model. The record is from RNAcentral.
AGGACGAACGCUGGCGGCGUGCUUAACACAUGCAAGUCGAGCGGUAAGGCCUUUCGGGGUACACGAGCGGCGAACGGGUGAGUAACACGUGGGUGAUCUGCCCUGCACUUCGGGAUAAGCCUGGGAAACUGGGUCUAAUACCGGAUAUGACCUCCUAUCGCAUGGUGGGUGGUGGAAAGAUUUAUCGGUGCAGGAUGGGCCCGCGGCCUAUCAGCUUGUUGGUGGGGUAAUGGCCUACCAAGGCGACGACGGGUAGCCGACCUGAGAGGGUGACCGGCCACGACUGGGACUGAGACACGGCCCAGACUCCUACGGGAGGCAGCAGUGGGGAAUAUUGCACAAUGGGCGAAAGCCAGAUGCAGCGACGCCGCGUGAGGAUGACGGCUCGGUUGUAAACCUCUUUCAGCAGGACGAAGCGCAAGUGACGGUACCUGCAGAAGAAGCACCGGCUAACUACGUGCCAGCAGCCGC